RNAcentral lists this ribosomal RNA (496 nucleotides) under uncultured bacterium. RNAcentral describes it as "partial 16S ribosomal RNA". It matches the Rfam family "Bacterial small subunit ribosomal RNA", at positions 28 to 506 of the family's 1533-position model. The record is from RNAcentral.
GAUGAACUCUGGCGGCGUGCCUAAUACAUGCAAGUCGAGCGAACAGAUGAGGAGCUUGCUCCUCUGACGUUAGCGGCGGACGGGUGAGUAACACGUGGAUAACCUACCUAUAAGACUGGGAUAACUUCGGGAAACUGGAGCUAAUACCGGAUAAUAUAUUGAACCGCAUGGUUCAAUAGUGAAAGACGGUUUUGCUGUCACUUAUAGAUGGAUCCGCGCCGCAUUAGCUAGUUGGUAAGGUAACGGCUUACCAAGGCAACGAUGCGUAGCCGACCUGAGAGGGUGAUCGGCCACACUGGAACUGAGACACGGUCCAGACUCCUACGGGAGGCAGCAGUAGGGAAUCUUCCGCAAUGGGCGAAAGCCUGACGGAGCAACGCCGCGUGAGUGAUGAAGGUCUUCGGAUCGUAAAACUCUGUUAUUAGGGAAGAACAAAUGUGUAAGUAACGAUGCACGUCUUGACGGUACCUAAGCAGAAAGCCACGGCUAACUACGU